GGAUUCCCCUAGUAACUGCGAGUGAAGCGGGAAAAGCUCAAAUUUAAAAUCUGGCGGUCUUUGGCCGUCCGAGUUGUAGUCUGGAGAAGUGCUUUCCGCGCUGGACCGUGUAUAAGUCUCUUGGAACAGAGCGUCAUAGAGGGUGAGAAUCCCGUCUUUGACACGGACUACCAGUGCUUUGUGAUGCGCUCUCAAAGAGUCGAGUUGUUUGGGAAUGCAGCUCAAAAUGGGUGGUGAAUUCCAUCUAAAGCUAAAUAUUGGCGAGAGACCGAUAGCGAACAAGUACCGUGAGGGAAAGAUGAAAAGCACUUUGGAAAGAGAGUUAAACAGUACGUGAAAUUGCUGAAAGGGAAACGCUUGAAGUCAGUCGCGUUGUCCGGAACUCAGCCUUGCUUUUGCUUGGUGCACUUUCCGGAUGACGGGUCAGCAUCGAUUUUGACCGUCGGAAAAGGGCUGGAGUAAUGUGGCACCUCCGGGUGUGUUAUAGACUCUGGUCGCAUACGGCGGUUGGGAUCGAGGAACGCAGCGCGCCGCAAGGCAGGGGUUCGCCCACUUUCGCGCUUAGGAUGCUGGCAUAAUGGCUUUAAACGACCCGUCUUGAAACACGGACCAAGGAGUCUAACAUACCUGCGAGUGUUUGGGUGGAAAACCCGAGCGCGUAAUGAAAGUGAAAGUUGAGAUCCCUGUCGUGGGGAGCAUCGACGCCCGGACCAGACGUUCUCUGACGGAUCCGCGGUAGAGCAUGUAUGUUGGGACCCGAAAGAUGGUGAACUAUGCCUGAAUAGGGUGAAGCCAGAGGAAACUCUGGUGGAGGCUCGUAGCGAUUCUGACGUGCAAAUCGAUCGUCAAAUUUGGGUAUAGGGGCGAA
This 868-nucleotide ribosomal RNA is filed under the name Ganoderma gibbosum. RNAcentral describes it as "LSU rRNA". It matches the Rfam family "Eukaryotic large subunit ribosomal RNA", at positions 72 to 927 of the family's 3401-position model. The record is from RNAcentral. Lineage: Eukaryota; Fungi; Basidiomycota; Agaricomycetes; Polyporales; Polyporaceae.